This is a ribosomal RNA of Danio rerio (zebrafish), 117 nucleotides long. NCBI's taxonomy places the organism in Eukaryota, Metazoa, Chordata, Actinopteri, Cypriniformes, Danionidae. The record is from Ensembl.
GACAAUAGCCAUAUCACCCUGCAGCCCAAGACCAGUUACUCACUGAAGCUAAGCCAAGCUGAGUCUGUUCAGUACCUGGAUAGGAGACCACAUGGAAAAACUAGUCUACUAUUGAAA